ACGGGUGAGUAAUACAUCGGAACGUACCGUGUAGUGGGGGAUAACUUAGCGAAAGUUAGGCUAAUACCGCAUACGAUCUACGGAUGAAAGUGGGGGACCUUCGGGCCUCACGCUAUACGAGCGGCCGAUGUCUGAUUAGCCAGUUGGUGAGGUAAAGGCUCACCAAGGCGACGAUCAGUAGCGGGUCUGAGAGGAUGAUCCGCCACACUGGGACUGAGACACGGCCCAGACUCCUACGGGAGGCAGCAGUGGGGAAUUUUGGACAAUGGGCGAAAGCCUGAUCCAGCCAUGCCGCGUGUCUGAAGAAGGCCUUCGGGUUGUAAAGGACUUUUGUCAGGGAGCAAAACUUAAGGGUUAAUAACCUUUGAGGUUGAGAGUACCUGAAGAAUAAGCACCGGCUAACUACGUGCCAGCAGCCGCGGUAAUACGUAGGGUGCAAGCGUUAAUCGGAAUUACUGGGCGUAAAGCGUGCGCAGGCGGACUUUUAAGCCAGAUGUGAAAGCCCCGAGCUUAACUUGGGAACCGCGUUUGGAACUGAAAGUCUAGAGUCUGUCAGAGGGGGAUGGAAUUCCAAGAUUCAUGGUCUCUG
RNAcentral lists this ribosomal RNA (589 nucleotides) under uncultured bacterium. RNAcentral's name for it is "bacterial SSU rRNA". It matches the Rfam family "Bacterial small subunit ribosomal RNA", at positions 102 to 690 of the family's 1533-position model. The record is from RNAcentral.